GUGAGUCAUCGAAUCUUUGAACGCACAUUGCGCCCCUUGGUAUUCCGAGGGGCAUGCCUGUUCGAGCGUCAUUACAACCCUCAAGCACUGCUUGGUAUUGGGCUCCGCUGGUUUCAGCGGGCCUUAAAAUCAGUGGCAGCGCCGUCUGAGCUCUGAGCGUAGUAAAUAUCCUCGCUAUAGAGACCAGGUGGUUCUUGUCAUCAACCCCCAACUUUCUAAGUUUGACCUCGGAUCAGGUAGGGAUACCCGCUGAACUUAAGCAUAUCAAUAAGCGGAGGA
Molecule: unclassified non-coding RNA, 279 nt
Filed under: Hyaloscyphaceae sp.
Lineage: Eukaryota; Fungi; Ascomycota; Leotiomycetes; Helotiales; Hyaloscyphaceae
Description: partial contains 5.8S ribosomal RNA, internal transcribed spacer 2, and large subunit ribosomal RNA
Rfam family: 5.8S ribosomal RNA (bases 1-71)
Source: RNAcentral